UGUCUCCCAGCCUGAGGUGCAGUGCUGCAUCUCUGGUCAGCUGGGAGUCUGAGAUGAAGCACUGUAGCUCGGGAAGGGGGAAGC
RNAcentral lists this microRNA precursor (84 nucleotides) under Ailuropoda melanoleuca (giant panda). Its description in RNAcentral is "mir-143 microRNA precursor family". It matches the Rfam family "mir-143 microRNA precursor family". The record is from Rfam by way of RNAcentral. Lineage: Eukaryota; Metazoa; Chordata; Mammalia; Carnivora; Ursidae.